UACGGGGGGGGUAAGCGUUGUUCGGAAUUACUGGGCGUAAAGGGCUCGUAGGCGGCCCGUUAAGUCAGUGGUGAAAGCCUCCAGCUCAACUGGAGAACUGCCAUUGAUACUGGCGGGCUUGAGUACAGACGAGGUAGGCGGAAUUGAUUGUGUAGCGGUGAAAUGCAUAGAUACAAUCAAGAACACCGAUUGCGUAGGCAGCUUACUAGGCUGUAACUGACGCUGAGGCACGAAAGCGUGGGGAGCGAACAGG
RNAcentral lists this ribosomal RNA (253 nucleotides) under uncultured bacterium. Its description in RNAcentral is "partial 16S ribosomal RNA". It matches the Rfam family "Bacterial small subunit ribosomal RNA", at positions 524 to 776 of the family's 1533-position model. The record is from RNAcentral.